RNAcentral lists this ribosomal RNA (274 nucleotides) under uncultured bacterium. Its description in RNAcentral is "partial 16S ribosomal RNA". It matches the Rfam family "Bacterial small subunit ribosomal RNA", at positions 523 to 796 of the family's 1533-position model. The record is from RNAcentral.
AUGCGGAGGGUCCGAGCGUUAAUCGGAAUUACUGGGCGUAAAGCGCGCGUAGGCGGAUAUUUAAGUCGGAUGUGAAAUCCCUGGGCUCAACCUGGGAACUGCAUUUGAAACUGGAUAUCUAGAGUAUGGUAGAGGUGAGUGGAAUUUCAGGUGUAGCGGUGAAAUGCGUAGAGAUCUGAAGGAACAUCAGUGGCGAAGGCGACUCACUGGGCCAUUACUGACGCUGAGGUGCGAAAGCGUGGGUAGCAAACAGGAUUAGAAACCCUUGUAGUCC